UAGGCGGCUUAUAAGUCAGUGGUGAAAGCCCUACGCUUAACGUAGGAACGGCCAUUGAUACUGUUAGGCUUGAAUUAUUAGGAAGUAACUAGAAUAUGUAGUGUAGCGGUGAAAUGCUUAGAGAUUACAUGGAAUACCAAUUGCGAAGGCAGGUUACUACUAAUGGAUUGACGCUGAUGGACGAAAGCGUGGGUAGCGAACAGGAUUAGAUACCCUGGUAGUCCACGCCGUAAACGAUGGAUACUAGCUGUUGGGCGCAAGUUCAGUGGCUAAGCGAAAGUGAUAAGUAUCCCACCUGGGGAGUACGUUCGCAAGAAUGAAACUCAAAGGAAUUGACGGGGGCCCGCACAAGCGGUGGAGCAUGUGGUUUAAUUCGAUGAUACGCGAGGAACCUUACCAAGGCUUAAAUGUAGUUUGACCGUUUUGGAAACAGAACUUUCGCAAGACAAAUUACAAGGUGCUGCGUGGUUGUCGUCAGCUCGUGCCGUGAGGUGUCAGGUUAAGUCCUAUAACGAGCGCAACCCCUGUUGUUAGUUGCCAGCGAGUCAAGUCGGGAACUCUAACAAGACUGCCAGUGCAAACUGUGAGGAAGGUGGGGAUGACGUCAAAUCAUCACGGCCCUUACGCCUUGGGCUACACACGUGCUACAAUGGGACGGUACAGAGAGCA
RNAcentral lists this ribosomal RNA (669 nucleotides) under uncultured bacterium. RNAcentral's name for it is "bacterial SSU rRNA". It matches the Rfam family "Bacterial small subunit ribosomal RNA", at positions 572 to 1248 of the family's 1533-position model. The record is from RNAcentral.